RNAcentral lists this ribosomal RNA (524 nucleotides) under uncultured bacterium. RNAcentral describes it as "partial 16S ribosomal RNA". It matches the Rfam family "Bacterial small subunit ribosomal RNA", at positions 355 to 868 of the family's 1533-position model. The record is from RNAcentral.
UGGGGAAUAUUGCACAAUGGGCGCAAGCCUGAUGCAGCCAUGCCGCGUGUGUGAAGAAGGCCUUCGGGUUGUAAAGCACUUUCAGCGAGGAGGAAGGUGGUGAGCUUAAUACGCUCAUCAAUUGACGUUACUCGCAGAAGAAGCACCGGCUAACUCCGUGCCAGCAGCCGCGGUAAUACGGAGGGUGCAAGCGUUAAUCGGAAUUACUGGGCGUAAAGCGCACGCAGGCGGUUUGUUAAGUCAGAUGUGAAAUCCCCGGGCUCAACCUGGGAACUGCAUUUGAAACUGGCAAGCUAGAGUCUCGUAGAGGGGGGUAGAAUUCCAGGUGUAGCGGUGAAAUGCGUAGAGAUCUGGAGGAAUACCGGUGGCGAAGGCGGCCCCCCUGGACGAAGACUGACGCUCAGGUGCGAAAGCGUGGGGCAGCAAACAGGAUUAGAUACCCUGGUAGUCCAGCGCUGUAAACGAUGUCGAUUUGGAGGUUGUGCCCUUGAGGCGUGGCUUCCGGAGCUAACGCGUUAAAUCGA